AUUUUGCCCCUCCCUGAGAUCACCACUACAAUCAUGAUGUCACAUCCUGUAUUAACAACUGAAAUUUGAAUAAUCACUGAAGAUUAUAAUAUAACUCAUAUUGGUGCUCAAAUGAACUGCACACACAAAAAGGUUUCACAAUGACUCAGAUGUACUGGUAUGGACAACGGCGCGGACAAACUAUGACUCUUAUUGUGUUCACAAGUUCUGUGAGCGAUCCAGACUAUGGAUGGAGAUUCUGAUCCAGUCAAAUUCACAGCCAACAAACCAGUUCCCGAGAGAAGAAGUUCACAAUGAAGUGAACUUUACCAAGAGUUCAUCAAAAACAGCUGCCGCUAAUAAUGACAGUGAUCAACAGGGGGCGAUGUGAUCCCACAAAUCUGCAGCUUGUUCAUAUUAAUAUAUAUCCUGUGUUAUCCUCUCAAGAACAGGAUUCAAUGCACUCAUAGCCAUUGCUAAACAUGAUCAUUGUUCUGCUAAUCCUGUCACUGUGUUGGAGUCAAUGUGCUUCAAGUGGAGAUGGUGUUUCACAGCCUGGCAGUGUUUGGACCCUCGAGGGGAAAUCUGCUCAGAUGAACUGCUCACACAACAAGGGUCGUGACUAUAAUCAGAUGUACUGGUACCAGCAGCAAAAAGGAGAGAGUUUGAGGCUCAUCGUGUUCACAACAAGCUAUGGGGAUCCAGACUAUGGAGAUUCUGACCAAACUAAAUUUGAAGCUCAUAAAAGCGUUCCUGAAAGCGGAUCUCUCACUGUGAAGAACACACAGCCAGAUGAUAGUGCCAUAUAUUUCUGUUCAGUGAGCAAACACAGUGUGUCAAACACUGAAGGCAGAUGUACAAAAACACCUUACACAGAUCAGAUCAAUAUACCAUCCAGAAGGGGGCGCUCUGGUACAGUUCAACACACAAUGUCUUAUGGAGUGAUUCCUGUCCAUUUAAUAUACUAGUAUAUACUACUCACGCUAUGUGCACCAAACUGUAUCUCUCUAUGGCAGAAAUAACAAGAGUAUGUGGAUCUGAAUUCAGAAAUGCAUAGAGAAAACA
Molecule: non-coding RNA, 1044 nt
Organism: Pimephales promelas (fathead minnow)
Lineage: Eukaryota; Metazoa; Chordata; Actinopteri; Cypriniformes; Leuciscidae
Source: the annotation of a RefSeq genome assembly